UACAGAGGUGGCAAGCGUUGUUCGGAAUUACUGGGCGUAAAGGGCGCGUAGGCGGCCAUUUAAGUCAGACGUGAAAUCCCCCGGCUUAACCUGGGAACUGCGUCUGAUACUGGAUGGCUUGAGUUCGGGAGAGGGAUGUGGAAUUCCAGGUGUAGCGGUGAAAUGCGUAGAUAUCUGGAGGAACACCGGUGGCGAAGGCGGCAUCCUGGACCGAAACUGACGCUGAGGCGCGAAAGCUAGGGGAGCAAAC
RNAcentral lists this ribosomal RNA (250 nucleotides) under uncultured bacterium. RNAcentral describes it as "partial 16S ribosomal RNA". It matches the Rfam family "Bacterial small subunit ribosomal RNA", at positions 524 to 773 of the family's 1533-position model. The record is from RNAcentral.